UCACACGUUCUCUUCUCUAUCAAAUUCUCUCUACUGAAACCCUAAUCUUCAGGCAUCGUCACCGGCUUAGCCCUCCAUUCUAUGAUAUUUCUUUGUCGUCUCAGGCCUCUAUUGGCCUCCUACUUGCUAUGGUUCAUCGGUUUCUUAGAUCCUUGAGAAGAUCUCAAGGGACCUAGGUGGUCUGAAUUGCACCUUUGAUCUCUUUGCCUAUUUCACGCCAUUUGCUCGGCCAUGAAUAAGAUGUCUCUCCUAUUUUGAUACGAAUUCAUGAUUUGAUAAGUCUAUGACCUCAUCUCUGUUAUAC
This 304-nucleotide long non-coding RNA is filed under the name Nicotiana benthamiana. RNAcentral describes it as "long non-coding RNA (NBEN_LNC040893)". Lineage: Eukaryota; Viridiplantae; Streptophyta; Magnoliopsida; Solanales; Solanaceae. The record is from RNAcentral.